AACGAACGCUGGCGGCAUGCCUAACACAUGCAAGUCGAACGAGACCUUCGGGUCUAGUGGCGCACGGGUGCGUAACGCGUGGGAACCUGCCCUUAGGUUUGGAAUAACUCCCCGAAUGGGGUGCUAAUACCGGAUAAUAUCUCCGGACCAAAGAUUUAUCGCCUUUGGAUGGGCCCGCGUUGGAUUAGCUAGUUGGUAGGGUAAAAGCCUACCAAGGCGACGAUCCAUAGCUGGUCUGAGAGGAUGAUCAGCCACAUUGGGAGUGAGACACGGCCCAGACUCCUACGGGAGGCAGCAGUGGGGAAUAUUGGACAAUGGGCGAAGGCAUGAUCCAGCAAUGCCGCGUGAGUGAUGAAGGCCUUAGGGUUGUAAAGCUCUUUUACCCGGGAUGAUAAUGACAGUACCGGGAGAAUAAGCUCCGGCUAACUCCGUG
This 433-nucleotide ribosomal RNA is filed under the name uncultured bacterium. RNAcentral describes it as "partial 16S ribosomal RNA". It matches the Rfam family "Bacterial small subunit ribosomal RNA", at positions 29 to 507 of the family's 1533-position model. The record is from RNAcentral.